RNAcentral lists this long non-coding RNA (206 nucleotides) under Panax ginseng (ginseng). Its description in RNAcentral is "long non-coding RNA (PGIN_LNC001161)". Lineage: Eukaryota; Viridiplantae; Streptophyta; Magnoliopsida; Apiales; Araliaceae. The record is from RNAcentral.
UCGCUAAAGCGGCUUUAAGCGACAAAACCGUCGCUGAAGGUGUUCUUGAGUGUUCUUCUUCAAACCAAGAUCUGCAUGGCAGUUAACCGAGUGGUAUGUUUGACCAGUCACCAAUUCUUGAUCUCAAUGUUUUUUGGGCAGUUAAAGUGUUAGGAUUCUAGUAUUUAUGUAAUAUUACAAUAACCAAUCAAUUGUAUGGUCAAAAC